Molecule: ribosomal RNA, 582 nt
Filed under: uncultured bacterium
Lineage: Bacteria
Description: bacterial SSU rRNA
Rfam family: Bacterial small subunit ribosomal RNA
Source: RNAcentral
ACGGGUGAGUAAUAUAUCGGAACGUGCCCUAGAGUGGGGGAUAACUAGUCGAAAGAUUAGCUAAUACCGCAUACGAUCUAAGGAUGAAAGUGGGGGAUCGCAAGACCUCAUGCUCCUGGAGCGGCCGAUAUCUGAUUAGCUAGUUGGUGGGGCAAAAGCCUACCAAGGCGACGAUCAGUAGCUGGUCUGAGAGGACGACCAGCCACACUGGGACUGAGACACGGCCCAGACUCCUACGGGAGGCAGCAGUGGGGAAUUUUGGACAAUGGGGGCAACCCUGAUCCAGCAAUGCCGCGUGAGUGAAGAAGGCCUUCGGGUUGUAAAGCUCUUUUGUCAGGGAAGAAACGGUUCCAGCUAAUAUCUGGAGCUAAUGACGGUACCUGAAGAAUAAGCACCGGCUAACUACGUGCCAGCAGCCGCGGUAAUACGUAGGGUGCAAGCGUUAAUCGGAAUUACUGGGCGUAAAGCGUGCGCAGGCGGUUGUGUAAGUCAGAUGUGAAAUCCCCGGGCUCAACCUGGGAAUUGCAUUUGAGACUGCACGGCUAGAGUGUGUCAGAGGGGGGUAGAAUUCCACGUGUAGCA